This 468-nucleotide ribosomal RNA is filed under the name uncultured bacterium. Its description in RNAcentral is "partial 16S ribosomal RNA". It matches the Rfam family "Bacterial small subunit ribosomal RNA", at positions 28 to 507 of the family's 1533-position model. The record is from RNAcentral.
GACGAACGCUGGCGGCGUGCUUAACACAUGCAAGUCGAACGGAAAGGCCCUGCUUUUGUGGGGUGCUCGAGUGGCGAACGGGUGAGUAACACGUGAGUAACCUGCCCUUCACUUUGGGAUAACUUCAGGAAACUGGGGCUAAUACCGGAUCGGAGCUCCUGCUGCAUGGUGGGCGUUGGAACGUUUCGGCGGGCGGGGAUGGACUCGCGGCUUAUGAGCUUGUUGGUUGGGUAGUGGCUUACCCAGGCUUUGACGGGUAGCCGGCCUGGGAGGGUGAACGGGGACAUGGGGACUGAGAGACGGCGCAGAGUCGUACGGGGGGCAGCAGGGGGAAAUAUGGCACAAUGGGCGGGAGCGUGAGGCAGCAACGUCGGGGGUGUGAUGACGGUCUGCGGGGUGUGAACAGCUUUCGCCUGUGACGAAGCUUGAGUGACGGUAAUGGGUAAAGAAGCACCGGCUAACUACGUG